GAGUUCCCUUCGGGGACAUUGGUGACAGGUGGGGCAUGGUUGUCGUCAGCUCGUGUCGUGAGAUGUUGGGUUAAGUCCCGCAACGAGCGCAACCCUUGUCUUUAGUUGCCAUCAUUAAGUUGGGCACUCUAGAGAGACUGCCAGGGAUAACCUGGAGGAAGGUGGGGAUGACGUCAAAUCAUCAUGCCCCUUAUGCUUAGGGCUACACACGUGCUACAAUGGGUAGUACAGAGGGUUGCCAAGCCGUAAGGUGGAGCUAAUCCCUUAAAGCUACUCUCAGUUCGGAUUGUAGGCUGAAACUCGCCUACAUGAAGCUGGAGUUACUAGUAAUCGCAGAUC
RNAcentral lists this ribosomal RNA (339 nucleotides) under Clostridioides difficile. RNAcentral's name for it is "bacterial SSU rRNA". It matches the Rfam family "Bacterial small subunit ribosomal RNA", at positions 1011 to 1350 of the family's 1533-position model. The record is from RNAcentral. Lineage: Bacteria; Bacillati; Bacillota; Clostridia; Peptostreptococcales; Peptostreptococcaceae.